RNAcentral lists this small nuclear RNA (302 nucleotides) under Meleagris gallopavo (turkey). Its description in RNAcentral is "7SK RNA". It matches the Rfam family "7SK RNA". Rfam says of the family: 7SK was discovered as an abundant small nuclear RNA in the mid-70s but a possible function has only recently been suggested. Two independent studies have found that 7SK RNA binds the CDK9/cyclin T complex (known as elongation factor P-TEFb). Lineage: Eukaryota; Metazoa; Chordata; Aves; Galliformes; Phasianidae. The record is from Rfam by way of RNAcentral.
CAGUGUGAGGGCGAUCUGGCUGUGACAUCUGUCACCCCGUUGAUCACCAGGGUUGAUUUGGCUGAUCUGACUGGCUAGGCGGGUGUCCCUUUCCUCCCUCACCACUCCAUGUGCGUCCCUCCUGAAGCUGCGCGCUUCCCCAGUAGAGAUGGUACCGUUCAUUGGUCAAGGAUAUACGGUAGCUGCACUCCCCUGCUAGAACCUCCAAACAAACAAGCAAGCACAAGCAAGAAUAGGACCAAUUUCUUAAUCAUUACUACCACAUCCUGCCAACAUACUGUGAAGACAGUAGAUAUAUCUUC